Molecule: ribosomal RNA, 501 nt
Filed under: uncultured bacterium
Lineage: Bacteria
Description: bacterial SSU rRNA
Rfam family: Bacterial small subunit ribosomal RNA
Source: RNAcentral
CCCUUAGAGUUUGAUCCUGGCUCAGGAUGAACGCUGGCGGCGUGCUUAACACAUGCAAGUCGAACGAAGCACUUUUACAGAUUUCUUCGGAAUGAAGUUUUAGUGACUGAGUGGCGGACGGGUGAGUAACGCGUGGGUAACCUGCCUCACACAGGGGGAUAGCAGUUGGAAACGGCUGAUAAUACCGCAUAAGCGCACAGUACCGCAUGGUACAGUGUGAAAAACUCCGGUGGUGUGAGAUGGACCCGCGUCUGAUUAGCUUGUUGGCAGGGUAACGGCCUACCAAGGCAACGAUCAGUAGCCGACCUGAGAGGGUGACCGGCCACAUUGGGACUGAGACACGGCCCAGACUCCUACGGGAGGCAGCAGUGGGGAAUAUUGCACAAUGGAGGAAACUCUGAUGCAGCGACGCCGCGUGAGUGAAGAAGUAAUUCGUUAUGUAAAGCUCUAUCAGCAGGGAAGAUAGUGACGGUACCUGACUAAGAAGCUCCGGCAAAUCUG